UUAAGUUAUCCAAAGGAAUUUCACCAUUUGGUUUUAUAAACAUAUGAAUUGAGGCAUAAACACCUUAAAAGUAACUCACCCCAAAUUAUGCAAGCUUUCAUUCCCAUUAUAGAACUGUGUAUAAAGAAGAGCUUACUCUUAGCAUGUACUGCAAAAAUGAAAUCAUACAGUACCGAUGCAGUUAUGUGUGACAGCUGCCUGACUCCAAAAAGCAGCUGAACAGAACUUAGCAUUAAGGAUUAUAUUUGAGACUUAGCACAAGUAUAAUUACAAUACUUUUUAAAAAGUAGUUUUGGUUACUUUAAGUACAUAUGACAUAGUCUAAUGAAAAGCUAAAACUUGAAAAAAACAGAGCCAGCUGGUUCAACCCUGCUACAGACCACAGAUGUCUCAGUCAUACAGCAGCUCAGUGACAAAGCUGUAAUCGCACCCACAUUUCUAACUCCUCACCUACCACUACUUCAGUUACUUAUACUACUAAACAUAACAGUAGACCAGUUAUGUGAUGGAUGGAAAACUUUCUAAAGCCAGAUAAAUAUGCAUUCACAGACUCUUUUUAGGAUAAAAAAAUGAUUAGUAUGAGUUUACUAUAAGAAACAAUAAUGCCUUUAAAAUUCCAAUGUAUUCAAGAUAUUCAAGAACUUACUAGUUAAAACUCUAUCUGAACCAGGAUUUAU
Phyllostomus discolor (pale spear-nosed bat) is the source of this 677-nucleotide long non-coding RNA. RefSeq lists it as uncharacterized. The record is from RefSeq and is a predicted model, not a curated record. Lineage: Eukaryota; Metazoa; Chordata; Mammalia; Chiroptera; Phyllostomidae. The transcript has 2 exons.